UACGUAGGGGGCAAGCGUUGUCCGGAUUUAUUGGGCGUAAAGAGCGUGUAGGCGGCCAUGUAGGUCCGUUGUGAAAACUCGAGGCUCAACCUCGAGACGCCGAUGGAAACCAUGUGGCUAGAGUCCGGAAGAGGAGAGUGGAAUUCCUGGUGUAGCGGUGAAAUGCGCAGAUAUCAGGAAGAACACCCGUGGCUAAGGCGGCUCUCUAGUACAGUACUGACGCUGAGACGCGAAAGCGUGGGGAGCGAACAGG
This 253-nucleotide ribosomal RNA is filed under the name uncultured bacterium. Its description in RNAcentral is "partial 16S ribosomal RNA". It matches the Rfam family "Bacterial small subunit ribosomal RNA", at positions 524 to 776 of the family's 1533-position model. The record is from RNAcentral.